Haemorhous mexicanus (house finch) is the source of this 4725-nucleotide RNA transcript. It is a transcript of the gene named CREB/ATF bZIP transcription factor, with no coding region annotated. The transcript has 4 exons. Lineage: Eukaryota; Metazoa; Chordata; Aves; Passeriformes; Fringillidae. The record is from RefSeq and is a predicted model, not a curated record.
GCCCCGCGGCGGGAGCGCCGGGCCGCAGCCUCGCGCCGCCCGCUGCCCUCGGGCUCCGUCCCGUCCCACCGGGCCCUGCUCCCGCAGCUCCCGCCAUGCGCCACAGCCUCACGCAGCUGCUGGCGGCCUCGGCCGGCGGGGCCAGCCCCUCAGGCGCCGUCUGGCCGCUGGCCGGAGCGGGGCAGGCCCCGAGAGGGCGGGAUGGCGGCGGGGAAGGGGACCCGGGCCCCGCGCGGCCCAAACCGCAGCCGCCGCCGCGGCGGGAGCCCUCGGGCGCCUCGGAGCUGCGGCGGCAGGAGAAGGAGGCCGAGGCGCCCGGCGGCGCGCUGGAGGUGUGGGAGCAAGAGGACUGGUUCCCGGGGCUGGAGCUGGGAGACCUGCUGGAGGCGGCCCGGCCGGACUGGGACCUGGACGCGGAGCUGAGCGACUGCUUCUGUGGGGACCCGGAGCCGCUGCCCGCGCCGGGCCAGGGCCCGCGGCCGGCGGCGCCCGGGCGGAGGAGCAGCGGGGCCGGGAGUCGGCUGAAGGCGGCGGCGGCGGCGCGGUUGAACCGGCUGAAGAAGAAGCAGUAUGUGCUGGGGCUGGAGAGCCGCCUGCAGGGCCUCGUUGCCGAGAACCGGCAGCUGCGGGACCGCAACCGCGGCCUGAGCCGCCGCCUGCGAGAGCUGGAGCGGGAGAGCAGCUACCUGCGGGCUGUGCUGGCGAACCAGAGCGCGCUGGGGCAGCUCCUGAGCCGCCUGGCCGGGACCCGCGCCGGCGGGCUGCAGCUCAGCACCAGCCUCUUCAGGGACACGGGCAGCCCCCGCCGCCAGCACCAGCACCUCCAGCCUGCCGGCGAGAGCAGCGACCACGACUACGCCCUGCCCAGCUCCCGGCUCCGCGGGCUGGAGGAGGCGGCGGCGGUGACUGAGACGGAGGAGGAGUGGGCGGCCCCCGGCGGGAUCUGCCUGCACGUGGACCGGGAUCAGGUGUCGGUGGAGUUCUGCUCCAUCUGUGCUCGGCGGGCAGCGGCCUCCUUCAAAAUUUUCUCUUUUAGGUGGUUGCCCUGCCAGGCUCCGUUGUGUAGGGGUUAAAGAACAGUCGUUUUCCACCUCGCAACCUGGUAAGGAUCAAUAUAUUCCCAUAAUGUGGUAUCAGACAGCUUGCUUUGCUUAUCCCAGUCUCUUGUAGUGACUGGUUCAGAAAAUGAUUUCUCUGGUCCUUGGCCUACUCUGCCAAAAUGUUUCUAGCUCUGGAUGACAAUUUAUCGUAAAGGUUACAAUCACAUCACUCAUUAGCUGUUUUCCUUUUUUCGUUUUUGAAACAACUAUAUUGGCUACAUAGUAGCCAAUAUAGGAACUACAUUUUGAAAACAGUUCAUGCAUUUGAAAUAGAAAUUUCUUAUUAAACCAAGUAUCUGAUGAGUGGAAAAAGGAAAACAUGCUAAUAAGGGGGAUGUGACAUUUAUAGCCUUUUAUUACAGGGGACUGUCCCAAAAGUCUUAAGUAAAUUACUUUUUGAAUGAAAAAAAGGAACUUGUGAGCUGUUGGUUUAAAAUGCUGUCUAGUGUUAGGGAUGCAGAGUACCAUUCAAAAGCCCCUCUCUAGCUUGCUCUAAUUCACACUGCAGACUUUUACCUGAUGAAACAGCCUGAGCACUGAUUUAAUCACUGCAGAGGAAUCCUCACAUAGAGGAGUUGCUCUUGCAUGGACCUCUAAGGAGAAUUAGGUUUGAAGAAUCAGUGCAUCGAAGUAACUCAUUACUUUACCUUCCCAUAAGUAAAUCUCUGUGCCCAUGCACCCAGAAAUUCCUAUGUUACUUCAGAGUAGCUUUAAAUUUUAAAAAUAUUGCAUGUAUAUGCAUGUGCUUAACCCUACAGUAGAGUUCUUAAUUCAGCCUCUUACAGUGUCCAGAAAUCUAUAACCUGAUAUAAUUAAGCACAGUUUGGAGAUGAGCAAAUAUGUAUCUUAAGGCUAAUGAUAUGAAAAAUGCUCCAUAAUUGCUCCUGAGAUAGGAGGAAAAAUAGUUUGACAAAAAAAUAGUGUGUGUUUUCUUGUAGUAGUCAGUGUUUCUCCCUAUUGCAAAAGAUGAGUGGGUUCUUUUUUCAGUUGUAUUAUAAUGUUUAGGUUGUUUAGGUUGUUGUAUGUCAGGUGGGGGAAGAAGGAUUGUGAAAAUGAUUAUAUGUAAAGUGAGGUUUCACAAAGAAUACUUUUCUAAAACAGAUUCAUUUAUAAAUUUCUUUCUUUUUUAAAUUAUGCUAUUUAGUGUUUCUGAAGUCUUGUUUCUUAAAGCCUUAAAUUUUGUGUUUAAGGCUAAGUAGUGAAAGCAUUUUCUCCGAGUCAUUUGCUUUAUUGGUGCUAGACCCUGUCACGUGUUCAUCAGUAGAAAAGCAGAUUGUAUUUUCUUUGUGAAACAUCACUGUGUGAUAAAGUAUAUGUGUAUUUAGCAUCCUUGUUUUUCUUUAUGCUAAAGUGGAUUCAGCUGUGUUGGGGCAGAAGAGACGGGACCAGCUGCUGGCCACAUUUCCUGCUUUAUUUUAAAAGGUAAGUGGUUCUGUUGGUUAAAGUCUGAUGGCUUCUGGAGAUAUGACAGUGCACUGUCAUGUAAAAUACUUGGUCCAUGGGAAUCUCCAGUCGGGGUGAUUAAGUUACAGAACCAUUUAGGUUUGGAAAAGACCUCCAGGACCAUCAAGUCCAACCUUUCACUCAUCACCAGCUCUUCAACUAGACCAUGCCACUAAGUGCCACAUGUAGUGGUUUCUUGAACACCUCCAGGGAGGGAGACUCCUGCCACCUCCUGGACAGUCCAUUACAAUGCUCAACAAGCCUUCCUGACAUGAAAUUCCUCCUGAUGUUCAACCUGAAACUCCCCUAGCACCAUUUGAGGCCAUUUCCUCUUGUCCUGUCACUUGUUGCCUGGGAGAAGAAGCUGACCUCCACCUAUGGCAGGUUAAGACCAUUACAUCAGAUUGGGAGUAUUGCUUCUGUAGAAUUCCUGAAUUAGCUCUCAGAUUGCAGAAUACACUAAGGACACCUCCUGCAGUAGGAGAGCUGCAAUUUAUAUUGCUCUAGAACAUACAGCCACCAAUGUGAAGACACACAUGACUCAUAAAUGCAUUACUCUGCACCACUGACCUUAGACAUUGCUGAGAUACCCCCAGUAAUGGCACUGGCCCUCAAAGGCCUCUCGCCACAGCCCCAUCCUUCAGGAAAAGACUUCAUUUCAAGGCAAAAUGGUUACCAGGCCAAAGGCUGUUUUUUUGAUAUGCUGGGAAGCUUGACAGGACUACCACUCCUGAUUGCUCUGUGAUACAAGUGUUCUCUACAUUGUGACCCAUCUAACGGUGUAAAUGAGGUAAUCUUGUGACAGAAGUUUUGUGCUAGCAGUAUGGGGAAAAAGGGAGAAAAGUACUCAGAUUUUGAGUAGAUCUCUAGUAAAACCUUGCCUUGAUCUUCCCCCUAUUGGUUGUGGGGUUCUUUUGGUUGGUCUUUUUUUUUUUUUUAAUAAAUCUCUAUGGUUUGCAUUAAGAAGGAAAAAAACUCUUUUUCGAGAAUACUCAUUUUUUUACAGCUUCUAAAAGUUGUAGCAUUACCUUAGAACCAAACAUUAAGCAGGGACUAUAAAUGCUUUCUUGCCUCCCAUUACCAAAGCAAUACACCUGUCUACUAUUCAGCUGUAUACACUAAACUGGCCAUAAUGAAAAGUUUAACCUGCAUUUAAGUUCAAAACUUAAAAAAAGUCCAGUGCAGAGACUGUUUUUGUAUUAAAGAGACAGCAACACUUAUUUUUCUUGUUUAUUAUGGUUACUUAUCCAAGGCAAUUGAAAAGUUGCGUAAUUUCAUUCAGGUAGCUCUUCAGGGUCCCUGCUACUGUUCAUCUGCAGCAGCAUCUUGAUAUAUAUUCCAUGCUGUUUAGUGGCAAGGUAUAAUCCAGUCAGAGCCUGUACCAGUAUACCCAGACUCAUCUUUCUAAAGACAGGCUGAGAAGUUGUGAGCCAGUAGCGUAACAGAUUUUCUUUUCCUGGCAAGGGAGUUGACAUAUACCUAAACAACAGAAACAGUGGUAGAAACUUUUUUUUUCCAUGUAAGUGUCAAGAAUUAACAUAAAUAUUUAUGUAGAUAGUAAUUUUCUUUUCCUUCUGUGUUAAAUUCACCUGGUGGAACUGAGCUCUCUGCAUAAAUGCUUUAAAACAUCCUAACCAUGCCCUGGGUCUCACCAAGCCUCACCCUGCUGUUGCUGUGCUCUGAACUACACAGAAUGAUACCUCUCAGGGACUUUGGCUGCUGGGCACUGCCCAGGGUCACUGAGGUCUCUUGGCUGUCCAGCCACCUUCAGUGGUGGCAGGAUGGCAACCACUGCACACAGCCAGGCACAGCCUGGGAGACUUGGAAGGCUCCUGCUAAACACAAGGGCUUCCCAAUGGAUCACUUUGCAGAUCUUAUUUCACUUUGAUGUAGCUCUUACAAACUUCAUUUUGUAAUUAGAUGACCUUAAUGUAUAUCUCCUUCCACAUCCUAAAUGUCUACAAGAAGACCAGUGUGCACAGAUCAAAUAUCUACAGAAUUUACACUGAGCUGAACAUUAACCCAUAAAUACAUUUCAAUCAAAACACUGCAGGUAAGACAUACCUGGCUGCAAGGCUUCCAUUCAAGGGGAUAGCCAGGAAAAUGGGAUAGAAACCACCCACAACAGCACCUACUAAUCCUCCUCUGAUCACAGCACAGACCUCACAGUUCAGCUGACCUG